UACGGAGGGUGCAAACGUUGCUCGGAAUCAUUGGGCGUAAAGGGCACGUAGGCUGGCUGUUAAGUCGGUGGUGAAAUGCUGAGGCUCAACCUCAGAAUUGCCUUCGAUACUGACGGUCUUGAGUGCGGGAGAGGUGAGUGGAAUUCCCAGUGUAGAGGUGAAAUUCGUAGAUAUUGGGAAGAACACCAGUGGCGAAGGCGGCUCACUGGCCCGCAACUGACGCUGAGGUGCGAAAGCGUGGGGAGCAAACAGG
Molecule: ribosomal RNA, 253 nt
Filed under: uncultured bacterium
Lineage: Bacteria
Description: partial 16S ribosomal RNA
Rfam family: Bacterial small subunit ribosomal RNA
Source: RNAcentral